This 436-nucleotide ribosomal RNA is filed under the name uncultured bacterium. RNAcentral's name for it is "partial 16S ribosomal RNA". It matches the Rfam family "Bacterial small subunit ribosomal RNA", at positions 29 to 507 of the family's 1533-position model. The record is from RNAcentral.
AGCGAACGCUGGCGGCAGGCUUAACACAUGCAAGUCGAGCGGGCAUCCUUGUGGUGUCAGCGGCAGACGGGUGAGUAACGCGUGGGAACGUGCCCUUCGGUUCGGAAUAACUCAGGGAAACUUGAGCUAAUACCGGAUACGUGCGAGAGCAGAAAGGUUUAUCUGCCGAAGGAUCGGCCGCGUCUGAUUAGCUAGUUGGUGAGGUUAUGGCUCACCAAGGCGACGAUCAGUAGCUGGUCUGAGAGGAUGAUCAGCCACACUGGGACUGAGACACGGCCCAGACUCCUACGGGAGGCAGCAGUGGGGAAUGUUGGACAAUGGGGGCAACCCUGAUCCAGCCAUGCCGCGUGAGUGAUGACGGCCUUAGGGUUGUAAAGCUCUUUUCUCCGGGACGAUAAUGACGGUACCGGAGGAAUAAGCCCCGGCUAACUUCGUG